AAGGCUCAGUACAACAGCUAUUAUUUAUUUGAUCAUAAACAUAGUUACUUGGAUAACUGUGGUAAUUCCAGAGCUAAUACAUGCAAACAACAUGGAUCCCUGUAGCAAUAUGGGUGAAACAUGUGCUUUUAUUAGAUUAAAACCAUGUCCAUCUUUGGUGGAUUUGUUUUAGAUGAAUCUGGAUAAUUAUGGCUGAUCGUAUGGUCUUGCACCGACGAUAGAUCAUUCAAAUGUCUGCCCUAUCAACUAUUGAUGGUAGUAUAGAGGACUACCAUGGUUGCAACGGGUAACGGGGAAUCAGGGUUCGA
This 308-nucleotide ribosomal RNA is filed under the name Sergentomyia dreyfussi turkestanica. RNAcentral's name for it is "SSU rRNA". It matches the Rfam family "Eukaryotic small subunit ribosomal RNA", at positions 93 to 380 of the family's 1831-position model. The record is from RNAcentral. Lineage: Eukaryota; Metazoa; Arthropoda; Insecta; Diptera; Psychodidae.